This 707-nucleotide ribosomal RNA is filed under the name Priestia sp. RNAcentral's name for it is "bacterial SSU rRNA". It matches the Rfam family "Bacterial small subunit ribosomal RNA", at positions 80 to 773 of the family's 1533-position model. Lineage: Bacteria; Bacillati; Bacillota; Bacilli; Caryophanales; Bacillaceae. The record is from RNAcentral.
GCUUCUAUGACGUUAGCGGCGGACGGGUGAGUAACACGUGGGCAACCUGCCUGUAAGACUGGGAUAACUUCGGGAAACCGAAGCUAAUACCGGAUAGGAUCUUCUCCUUCAUGGGAGAUGAUUGAAAGAUGGUUUCGGCUAUCACUUACAGAUGGGCCCGCGGUGCAUUAGCUAGUUGGUGAGGUAACGGCUCACCAAGGCAACGAUGCAUAGCCGACCUGAGAGGGUGAUCGGCCACACUGGGACUGAGACACGGCCCAGACUCCUACGGGAGGCAGCAGUAGGGAAUCUUCCGCAAUGGACGAAAGUCUGACGGAGCAACGCCGCGUGAGUGAUGAAGGCUUUCGGGUCGUAAAACUCUGUUGUUAGGGAAGAACAAGUACAAGAGUAACUGCUUGUACCUUGACGGUACCUAACCAGAAAGCCACGGCUAACUACGUGCCAGCAGCCGCGGUAAUACGUAGGUGGCAAGCGUUAUCCGGAAUUAUUGGGCGUAAAGCGCGCGCAGGCGGUUUCUUAAGUCUGAUGUGAAAGCCCACGGCUCAACCGUGGAGGGUCAUUGGAAACUGGGGAACUUGAGUGCAGAAGAGAAAAGCGGAAUUCCACGUGUAGCGGUGAAAUGCGUAGAGAUGUGGAGGAACACCAGUGGCGAAGGCGGCUUUUUGGUCUGUAACUGACGCUGAGGCGCGAAAGCGUGGGGAGCAAAC